UGUAUGUAUUGUGUGUGUGUGUAUAUAUAUAUGGGCGAAUUCCAAAUGGCUUUCUUGCGCCCUUGAAGGACACUUCGGGAAGGGGAC
Molecule: long non-coding RNA, 87 nt
Organism: Sinocyclocheilus grahami
Lineage: Eukaryota; Metazoa; Chordata; Actinopteri; Cypriniformes; Cyprinidae
Exons: 3
Source: RefSeq, a predicted model, not a curated record